Molecule: long non-coding RNA, 1975 nt
Filed under: Onthophagus taurus
Lineage: Eukaryota; Metazoa; Arthropoda; Insecta; Coleoptera; Scarabaeidae
Description: uncharacterized LOC111416570
Source: RNAcentral
UCAAUGCUAGAUUGUUGCAUAUUUUUAUUGCACUAAAAGUAGGUUAGGUCUGAAAAUAGUUAGUUUUACACAAGUUUUGUUCACUUAGGAUUCGAGUUUUAGAGUUUUACUACAAUAUCUAUUGGGAUUUGAAACGGUUAUGUUUGUUUGGGAUUAUUCUUGUUAUCGUCAUAAAACCCUUUCUUCUAGUAUUCGAAUGAUGUCAGUAUUAUUUGAAAUAAAUUCAAAUUUCAGUUUCUACUAGGUGACACAAAAUGUAUCACCUAUUUUAUUUGACUACUUGAGUAUUAAACAAUUCGCCGUGUGGCUCGACUUGUACAUACUAGGUCAACCCUAGAUCAGAAACCACCUGGGUUGUCUCAAAAAAUCCGGUCACUUGAGAACAUCCAAGUUUUUAGAGAUAGUGUCGAGGAGGAGUCAUCAACAUGGACGCGAAAACGCGCAACGCAGUAGUCCAUUUCUCGGCGGUGUCUUCAAAGAAUUUUCGAACAACAUGCAGAUGAUUCAAGAACUGGUGCCGAUCGCCAAACUGAUAUGGCAUACAGUAAGAGGUUGUUGCAGCUGAAUAACGAAGCGCCAGAUUUUUUUUAGAAAUUGAUGAUGAGAUAUGGGGCGUAUUUCCACCGCUCUGGACAUGUAAAGAAACAAAAUACCCAGUUUUGAGCAACCAGUAAUAAUCGUGUUCUCUAUGAGACACCACUCUAUAGACAAAAAGAGUAUGGUGAAGAAGACAAUGGAAACUCGGUAACUGUCACAGACGAACGGUGCCGAGUCAUGGUGAACGACUUCUUAAUACCGAAACCGUUUGAGUUGAAUUUCUAGGAUUUGUGUUUCUAUCAAAACGGUACCAUGGUGGUUGGAAUCGUCAGGAAUAACUAUGUUAAGAGAAGUGGGUUUUCGAAAGAUUUCAAAAUUAAAGUUUUGAUGCUCUCUAUCAAUAGUUAAAUCAAGAAAAUUAAGUUUCUUAUCACACCACUGUAACAGCCACAAACUUGCUGCAUUCCGCUCAUACAUUGAUCGCGUCUUUUCAUACCCCAUUAGCAAUACAUCCAGAUUUAAAGAACUUAAUUUUAUCUUCAAACCUUCAUCUAAAUAUGGAUUUCCCAAAGGAAUCAUUGAUAACAUUCUGUACAGAAAUAUUAUUAAACACGAUCCUCUAUAUACACCAACAAUAAAAUCCAAUAAUAUUUUCAAGUCACUCACUUACAACAGAAUUAACUGUAAAAUUAAACAUCUUUUACAACAAUAUAACGUAAACAUAAGUUUCAAAGGCAAUAAUCAGCUUAUUGACAUUUUUUCGAAUUACAAACAGAUUGAGAAAGAUUGUAACAAUAGUGGUGUUUAUUCUAUAAAGUGUAAGAAUUGUCAAGCUAUUUACAUCGGUCAGACUGGUAGGAAAUUACACACAAGAAUGCAAGAACACAAAAAUAGGCUAUCAUCUAACGUUUUUAAACACCACAUCGAAACAGGUCAUAUUAUUGACUAUGACAACGUUAAAUUAAUUCAUAAAUGUGAUAAGGGUCUUAAACUUCACUUAUUGGAAAGACUAGAAAUUGAUAAAGAGAAAAAAAAUAUGAAUUCCAACCUACUUAAUGAUCAAAGUAAUGAUGAUUUCUAUAAACCGUUGUUUUCUUUUCUUAAAUAUUAAUAAUUUUUUGAUGAUGUUUAUAUUCUUUUUAAUUUUGGUUACAUGAAUACCGAUUUUUAUUCGUCAAUAUUUCUUGUUUGACCGCUUCAUUGUGUUUCUUCUCGUGUUGUUUGACAGACAUUUUUCCUUUCUUAUUUUGGUCGUUCGUUCUAUAAUUUUAUUUUGUUUAGAAGUGGUUUAUUUUUAAAAUACUUUAUAAGUAUUUUUGAUUGUGAUUAUGUGUUGAACGUGUUUAUUCUUUGAUGUAUUUUAUCUUUUUACACCUUUGACUAUUUGGCUGAUGAUGACGAAAGUCGAAACAUGUACCAUGUAAAUUUAAAUAUAUUU